GUGUCAGCAGCCGCGGUAAAACGUAGGAGGCGAGCGUUAUCCGGAGUUACUGGGCGUAAAGCGCGUGUAGGUGGCUUGUUGCGUCUGCUGUGAAAGCUUCCGGCUUAACCGGGACUAUGCGGUAGAUACGGGCAAGCUCGAGGGUGACAGAGGAGCGUAGAAUUCCGGGUGUAGUGGUGAAAUGCGUAGAGAUCCGGAGGAAUACCAGUGGCGCAAGCGGCGCUCUGGGUCGAGCCUGACACUGAGACGCGAAGGCAUGGGGAGCGAACGGGAUUAGAAACCCCGGUAGUCC
This 292-nucleotide ribosomal RNA is filed under the name uncultured bacterium. RNAcentral's name for it is "partial 16S ribosomal RNA". It matches the Rfam family "Bacterial small subunit ribosomal RNA", at positions 505 to 796 of the family's 1533-position model. The record is from RNAcentral.